Molecule: ribosomal RNA, 468 nt
Filed under: uncultured bacterium
Lineage: Bacteria
Description: partial 16S ribosomal RNA
Rfam family: Bacterial small subunit ribosomal RNA
Source: RNAcentral
GACGAACGCUGGCGGCGUGCUUAACACAUGCAAGUCGAACGGAAAGGCCCUGCUUUUGUGGGGUGCUCGAGUGGCGAACGGGUGAGUAACACGUGAGUAACCUGCCCUUGACUUUGGGAUAACUUCAGGAAACUGGGGCUAAUACCGGCUAGGAGCUCCUGCUGCAUGGUGGGGGUUGGAAAGUUUCGGCGGUUGGGGAUGGACUCGCGGCUUAUCAGCUUGUUGGUGGGGUAGUGGCUUACCAAGGCUUUGACGGGUAGCCGGCCUGAGAGGGUGACCGGCCACAUUGGGACUGGGAUACGGCACAGACUACUACGGGAGGCAGCAGUGGGGAAUAGUGCACAAUGGGCGGAAGCCUGAUGCAGCAACGCAGCGUGCGGGAUGACGGCCUUCGGGUUGUAAACCGCUUUCGCCUGUGACGAAGCGUGAGUGACGGUAAUGGGUGAAGAAGCACCGGCUAACUACGUG